AGGAUUUUUAAACUAGCCAACUUUGAAGAUCCCAAGAUAUUGCUUCAUUUCUUAUUACUAUGCUAUCUCUUGGUAUAGUGUUUUUGCAGCUUAACUUUCACUGUUGCAACUUGGAACUGGUGUACUUGAUCUUAUUUCAUCUCUGAGUCAUGACAUUUUUGCCAUUUGUGUGAUUAGCUACCUUUGUCAUCAUCUGCUGCACUGGAGCACCAACUUUUAUAUUUCAAAGGAGCAAAUAAGUGAAAAUACACAAAUGUUGUUGCUUGUAGAAAUUGAGCUUUGCUCUGUGUAGUUUCUGAAGCCCUCCAGCUCUGCAAAUUGUUGGGUUUAGAGAGCACUGCAGACCUCAGGCUUGUGCUGAUGUUUGAUCUGGAUUACAAGAAAAUCUGCUGAGUUUUGUCAGGGUACAACACAGGAAAAGUGUCAGGAAAUGGCAGCCAAUGCUGUGAAUAACACAGGCAUUUGAUGAAAAACUAGCUAAACAAAAGAAAAAUGACUGUAGAUGGUCCUAGAAAGCACUAUGGCAUUAUAUUCAAUACAUGCUUUUAGGUGUUCUAAUUGUAUCUGAUAAAUAUAUCUGAAAUUAAGUCUCUAAUUGGAAAAAAUAACAACAGUGUGACCCUGAAUUAAUUAGAGUUAUGGAUUUCCCUAGUUUCAGUCUUACCUGUAGGUAUAUUAACUAAGAUCUUGACACUUUUACAUUUGCAAGUUCUUUCCAUGAGAUUACACAGAGUUCCAAAAAGGAAAAAAGUAAAACUGAAGAAGGUAUUGAUCAGUGGUCUUCAGCAUGGUUUUCAGAGCACCUUUCUCUUCCAACUGAACUAUUCUGUUCUGUUCAUAUCCACAGGAGAACUGCUUCAGUACUGGAGACAGGAGUUUGGAGCGCUCCCUUGUACAAGUAUGUACCACCCUGCCAAGGACAGAUUAUCACCCACUCAGGUGAGGAGAGAGUGAGCGAAGCUUUUUAGACUUCAGUUUUUGAUUUAGUGCUCUGAGCAUCCUCCUGAAUUUGGUUUUAUAUUCCUAUGUCUUUUUUUUUUUUUUUUGACUCUGGCUCUAAAUCAAAAGAGGGUAUAUAUUUUAGCCUUAGAGGUUGAAGAAUCUGAUUCUUUCUCCUGACAGUGAACAAUGUCUUUAAGUGAUGUGCAAGUCAUGUUUAAGCGCCUCUUAUUUAAGAAAGCAAUCUUUCAUUUGCCUUUGGUUUUCAUGACAGUUUAAGCACUUAUAUGUUAAUUUUUCUCAGUUCCACAGGAUUAGAAAUAUUUCUUCCAAAGGAUAAAAUGAGGAUGCAGUUGAGGAGGAUGUGAAGUAGAAACCAAAUUCAGGAGGAACAUUUAUUUUGAAAUAAGAAUCUGUCUCAAUCCUAGUGAUCAGAUAAAAUCUGAGUGUAGAGGUUUUUAAAAUUUAAUUUGCUGAUAGGUCAGGAGUUGUGAAA
RNAcentral lists this long non-coding RNA (1435 nucleotides) under Anas platyrhynchos platyrhynchos (common mallard). RNAcentral's name for it is "lncRNA (ENSAPLG00000027381.1)". Lineage: Eukaryota; Metazoa; Chordata; Aves; Anseriformes; Anatidae. The record is from RNAcentral.